This 434-nucleotide ribosomal RNA is filed under the name uncultured bacterium. RNAcentral describes it as "partial 16S ribosomal RNA". It matches the Rfam family "Bacterial small subunit ribosomal RNA", at positions 29 to 507 of the family's 1533-position model. The record is from RNAcentral.
AACGAACGCUGGCGGCAUGCCUAACACAUGCAAGUCGAACGAGACCUUCGGGUCUAGUGGCGCACGGGUGCGUAACGCGUGGGAACCUGCCCUUAGGUUCGGAAUAACUCCCCGAAAGGGGUGCUAAUACCGGAUAAUGUCUUCGGACCAAAGAUUUAUCGCCUUUGGAUGGGCCCGCGUUGGAUUAGCUAGUUGGUAGGGUAAAAGCCUACCAAGGCGACGAUCCAUAGCUGGUCUGAGAGGAUGAUCAGCCACACUGGGACUGAGACACGGCCCAGACUCCUACGGGGAGGCAGCAGUGGGGAAUAUUGGACAAUGGGCGAAAGCCUGAUCCAGCAAUGCCGCGUGAGUGAUGAAGGCCUUAGGGUUGUAAAGCUCUUUUACCCGGGAUGAUAAUGACAGUACCGGGAGAAUAAGCUCCGGCUAACUCCGUG